This 73-nucleotide transfer RNA is filed under the name Ailuropoda melanoleuca (giant panda). It matches the Rfam family "tRNA". Rfam says of the family: Transfer RNA (tRNA) molecules are approximately 80 nucleotides in length. Their secondary structure includes four short double-helical elements and three loops (D, anti-codon, and T loops). Lineage: Eukaryota; Metazoa; Chordata; Mammalia; Carnivora; Ursidae. The record is from Rfam by way of RNAcentral.
GCCUGGCUGGCUCAGUCGGUAGAACGUGUGACUCUUGAUCUCAGGGUUAUGAGUUUGAACCCCAUGUUGGGUG